Molecule: long non-coding RNA, 721 nt
Filed under: Callithrix jacchus (white-tufted-ear marmoset)
Lineage: Eukaryota; Metazoa; Chordata; Mammalia; Primates; Cebidae
Description: lncRNA (ENSCJAG00000072987.1)
Source: RNAcentral
GCUCCUGGUUAGGAAUGUGAUAUGUGUAAGAGCAUUGCCAGCUGGAGGAGCCUGAAUUAUUUACUGCAAUUCCUUCCAGAGACUACAAGUGGAUUGAUGACUGUGCAUGAAGUCCGGAGUUGGAAGGGCAGCUGGAGAAUCUCAAGGCCUGCCAGAGACUGGGUCUCUCUCUGUGGCUCAGGCUGGAGUGCAGUGGAAAGAUCAUAACUCAUUGCAAUCUUGAACUGCUCUGCUCAAGUGAUCCUUCAUCCUCAUCCUCCCCAGUAGCUGGGAUAUAGGCAUGCACCACCAUGCCUAGUAAAUUUCUUUAAUUUAUUAUUAUUAUUUAGAGAUAGGGUCUCACUGUGUUGCCCAGGCUGGUCUCAAACUCCUAGUCUCAAGUGAUCUUCUUGCCUCAUUUCCCCAAAGCAGCACUGUGAUUACAGGCAUGAACAACAAUACCUAACCUUUGCUUUCCUUCUUUCAUAAAUUGGCAAUAAACAGGCAUUUCCAAGUUUUCAAUUUGUGGUAUUAUCUUUCUGAUCCAUUUGCAAGACCUUGUUAUGUGUUAGUGAUACAAUUCAUUGAUGUACCAUACACAAUUUAUAUAUUUUUCUCAGUUUGCUUUUGUCUUUAACUUUGUGGGUUUUUUUGGACAGAUAUUUUAUAUUUUUAUAAGCCUAGAUCCAUUAGUUUUUCAUUUUUGGCUUACCUUUUAGGCUUUCCUUAACACAGAGAAAUA